GAAUAUUGGACAAUGGGGGCAACCCUGAUCCAGCCAUGCCGCGUGAGUGAUGAAGGCCUUAGGGUUGUAAAGCUCUUUCAGCGGGGAAGAUGAUGACGGUACCCGCAGAAGAAGCCCCGGCUAACUUCGUGCCAGCAGCCGCGGUAAUACGUAGGGACCAAGCGUUGUUCGGAUUUACUGGGCGUAAAGGGCGCGUAGGCGGCGCGGUAAGUCACUUGUGAAAUCUCUGAGCUUAACUCAGAACGGCCAAGUGAUACUGCAGUGCUAGAGUGUGGAAGGGGCAAUCGGAAUUCUUGGUGUAGCGGUGAAAUGCGUAGAUAUCAAGAGGAACACCUGAGGUGAAGACGGGUUGCUGGGCCAACACUGACGCUGAGGCGCGAAAGCCAGGGGAGCAAACGGG
This 400-nucleotide ribosomal RNA is filed under the name uncultured bacterium. Its description in RNAcentral is "bacterial SSU rRNA". It matches the Rfam family "Bacterial small subunit ribosomal RNA", at positions 359 to 776 of the family's 1533-position model. The record is from RNAcentral.